UACGUAGGGUGCGAGCGUUAAUCGGAAUUACUGGGCGUAAAGCGUGCGCAGGCGGUGAUGUAAGACCGAUGUGAAAUCCCCGGGCUUAACCUGGGAACUGCAUUGGUGACUGCAUUGCUGGAGUAUGGCAGAGGGGGGUGGAAUUCCACGCGUAGCAGUGAAAUGCGUAGAGAUGUGGAGGAACACCGAUGGCGAAGGCAGCCCCCUGGGCCAAUACUGACGCUCAUGCACGAAAGCGUGGGGAGCAAACAGG
Molecule: ribosomal RNA, 253 nt
Filed under: uncultured bacterium
Lineage: Bacteria
Description: partial 16S ribosomal RNA
Rfam family: Bacterial small subunit ribosomal RNA
Source: RNAcentral